AUUGAACGCUGGCGGCAGGCCUAACACAUGCAAGUCGACCGAGUGGCGGAAGGGUGAGUAAUGUCUGGGAAACUGCGCGAGGACGGUGGAUAACUACUGGAAACGGUAGCUAAUACCGCAUACUAUCGGAUGUGCCCAGAUGGGAUUAGCUAGUAGGUGGGGGAACGGCUCAGCUAGGCGACGAUCUCUAGCUGUUCUGAGAGGAUGACCAGCCACACUGGAACUGAGACACGGUCCAGACUCCUACGGGAGGCAGCAGUGGGGAAUAUUGCACAAUGGGCGCAAGCCUGAUGCAGCCAUGCCGCGUGUAUGAAGAAGGCCUUCGGGUUGUAAAGUACUUUCAGCGAGGAGGCGUUACUCGCAGAAGAAGCACCGGCUAACUCCGUGCCAGCAGCCGCGGUAAUUC
Molecule: ribosomal RNA, 406 nt
Filed under: uncultured bacterium
Lineage: Bacteria
Description: partial 16S ribosomal RNA
Rfam family: Bacterial small subunit ribosomal RNA
Source: RNAcentral